GUGAAUCAUCGAAUCUUUGAACGCAAAUUGCACUCUCCGGUUUUCCGGGAGAGUAUGCCUGUUUGAGGGUCAGCCUAAAAAAAAUCGACAUUGUUGCUGUUAUUUAAUGGUGACUUUCGUCGGAGAUUGGGUUAUCUUAAACCUUUUUUUUUUUGUUUUAAGCACCUUAAAUUUUUUUUUAACUUUUCAUUUAACUUUUCUAAAUUUUUUAUUUUUUAUACUUUUA
This 226-nucleotide unclassified non-coding RNA is filed under the name Glomeraceae sp. Its description in RNAcentral is "partial contains 5.8S ribosomal RNA and internal transcribed spacer 2". The stretch from base 1 to 72 matches the Rfam family "5.8S ribosomal RNA", at positions 84 to 154 of the family's 154-position model. The record is from RNAcentral. Lineage: Eukaryota; Fungi; Glomeromycota; Glomeromycetes; Glomerales; Glomeraceae.